Long non-coding RNA from Ornithodoros turicata, 563 nucleotides. RefSeq lists it as uncharacterized. The record is from RefSeq and is a predicted model, not a curated record. The transcript has 2 exons. Lineage: Eukaryota; Metazoa; Arthropoda; Arachnida; Ixodida; Argasidae.
UCUAGCCCUUAUUUAGUCAAGACAUCAGCAUCCUUUGAAACGCCAUUUAGAGCAAGCGGCCAUAUAAACGCGUACCUUUCUACCAGGCAUCUCACAAAACGACGACAAGAGUACGAACGUUCAACACCUAUCUGAAGAUGAAACACGUCGCUCCAGUUUGCAUUGUCCUGCUUAUUCUAGGCUUGCAUUCAGCUGCACUUGCCCAUGACAGCGGAAGAUUGAACGAUGAGCAGGAACAACAUGGCGGCGUACCAAAAUCGCCAGAAGACCUUCCGAAGCCUAAGGAACAGAUAACCGUGGCCACCAAUCACCAGUUAAGGCAGCGCAGCAUCUGCCGUGAGCUGUUUUGUGUGUACCUUUGUGAAUAUCACCAAGACAUCAAGAGGGGACUGUGCUAUCUCGGGUGUAUGAAAAACGAAACACAGGCCCCACUCUGCCUGAAGCUUAUCUAGUGAUGACUUCGCAUUCGACAUGUGCUAGGCAUGGAGUUGUGUACCCAUAAAGCUACAGCCUGUAGUUUUCAGGUGCAAUACAAUAAACACGAAGACAAGAUGCAAACUAUA